GGAGGGCAAGUCUGGUGCCAGCAGCCGCGGUAAUUCCAGCUCCAAUAGCGUAUAUUAGAGUUGUUGCAGUUAAAAAGCUCGUAGUUGGAUUUCGGGGUUCUACCGUUGGUCGGGCUUUGUCUGUACUGGUGUGUAGAAUUUCUACCUUCUGGGGAACCAUCAUGCUAUUAAUUUAGCGUGGUGGGAAACCAGGACCUUUACCUUGAAAAAAUUAGUGUGUUCAAAGCAGGCUUAUGUCUGAAUACAUUAGCGUGGAAUAAUAGAAUAGGACGGUGGUCCUGUUUUGUUGGUUUCUGAAUCACCGUAAUGAUUAAUAGGGAUAGUUGGGGGCAUUAGUAUUCAAUUGUCAGAGGUGAAAUUCUUGGAUUUAUUGAAGACUAACUUCUGCGAAAGCAUUUGCCAAGGAUGUUUUCAUUAAUCAAGAACGAAAGUUAGGGGAUCGAAGACGAUCAGAUACCGUCGUAGUCUUAACCAUAAACUAUGCCGACUAGGGAUCGGACGAUGUUAAUUUUUCUUGACUCGUUCGGCGCCUUACGGGAAAC
RNAcentral lists this ribosomal RNA (542 nucleotides) under uncultured Glomeromycotina. Its description in RNAcentral is "SSU rRNA". It matches the Rfam family "Eukaryotic small subunit ribosomal RNA", at positions 550 to 1098 of the family's 1831-position model. The record is from RNAcentral. Lineage: Eukaryota; Fungi; Glomeromycota.